Molecule: transfer RNA, 73 nt
Filed under: bacterium
Lineage: Bacteria
Description: tRNA-Glu
Rfam family: tRNA
About the family: Transfer RNA (tRNA) molecules are approximately 80 nucleotides in length. Their secondary structure includes four short double-helical elements and three loops (D, anti-codon, and T loops).
Source: RNAcentral
GGUCUCAUCGUCUAGUUGGUCAGGACAUACGGUUCUCAUCCGUAAAACAUGGGUUCGAAUCCCAUUGGGACCA